AGAGUUUGAUCCUGGCUCAGAUUGAACGCUGGCGGCAGGCCUAACACAUGCAAGUCGAGCGGUAACACAGGGAGCUUGCUCCCGGGUGACGAGCGGCGGACGGGUGAGUAAUGUCUGGGAAACUGCCUGAUGGAGGGGGAUAACUACUGGAAACGGUAGCUAAUACCGCAUAACGUCGCAAGACCAAAGAGGGGGACCUUCGGGCCUCUUGCCAUCAGAUGUGCCCAGAUGGGAUUAGCUAGUAGGUGGGGUAAUGGCUCACCUAGGCGACGAUCCCUAGCUGGUCUGAGAGGAUGACCAGCCACACUGGAACUGAGACACGGUCCAGACUCCUACGGGAGGCAGCAGUGGGGAAUAUUGCACAAUGGGCGCAAGCCUGAUGCAGCCAUGCCGCGUGUAUGAAGAAGGCCUUCGGGUUGUAAAGUACUUUCAGCGGGGAGGAAGGCGAUAAGGUUAAUAACCUUGUCGAUUGACGUUACCCGCAGAAGAAGCACCGGCUAACUCCGUGCCAGCAGCCGCGGUAAUACGGAGGGUGCAAGCGUUAAUCGGAAUUACUGGGCGUAAAGCGCACGCAGGCGGUCUGUCAAGUCGGAUGUGAAAUCCCCGGGCUCAACCUGGGAACUGCAUUCGAAACUGGCAGGCUAGAGUCUUGUAGAGGGGGGUAGAAUUCCAGGUGUAGCGGUGAAAUGCGUAGAGAUCUGGAGGAAUACCGGUGGCGAAGGCGGCCCCCUGGACAAAGACUGACGCUCAGGUGCGAAAGCGUGGGGAGCAAACAGGAUUAGAUACCCUGGUAGUCCACGCCGUAAACGAUGUCGACUUGGAGGUUGUGCCCUUGAGGCGUGGCUUCCGGAGCUAACGCGUUAAGUCGACCGCCUGGGGAGUACGGCCGCAAGGUUAAAACUCAAAUGAAUUGACGGGGGCCCGCACAAGCGGUGGAGCAUGUGGUUUAAUUCGAUGCAACGCGAAGAACCUUACCUACUCUUGACAUCCAGAGAACUUUCCAGAGAUGGAUUGGUGCCUUCGGGAACUCUGAGACAGGUGCUGCAUGGCUGUCGUCAGCUCGUGUUGUGAAAUGUUGGGUUAAGUCCCGCAACGAGCGCAACCCUUAUCCUUUGUUGCCAGCGGUCCGGCCGGGAACUCAAAGGAGACUGCCAGUGAUAAACUGGAGGAAGGUGGGGAUGACGUCAAGUCAUCAUGGCCCUUACGAGUAGGGCUACACACGUGCUACAAUGGCGCAUACAAAGAGAAGCGACCUCGCGAGAGCAAGCGGACCUCAUAAAGUGCGUCGUAGUCCGGAUUGGAGUCUGCAACUCGACUCCAUGAAGUCGGAAUCGCUAGUAAUCGUAGAUCAGAAUGCUACGGUGAAUACGUUCCCGGGCCUUGUACACACCGCCCGUCACACCAUGGGAGUGGGUUGCAAAAGAAGUAGGUAGCUUAACCUUCGGGAGGGCGCUUACCACUUUGUGAUUCAUGACUGGGGUGAAGUCGUAACAAGGUAGCCGUA
Molecule: ribosomal RNA, 1504 nt
Filed under: Klebsiella aerogenes
Lineage: Bacteria; Pseudomonadati; Pseudomonadota; Gammaproteobacteria; Enterobacterales; Enterobacteriaceae
Description: bacterial SSU rRNA
Rfam family: Bacterial small subunit ribosomal RNA
Source: RNAcentral